UGAGAUCAGAAACUCCUAAACUCCAGACCCCGGGAGGCCAUGCCUGCUGCCACCCUCUCCCAGCAGCCCCUCUCACAUCCCCCUCGACCGUCAGUCUUUCGGGGUUCGGCGGCCUUGUUACCGUGUGGACUUCCGCUCGGGGUACUCUCCCUCCCCGUGUUCUCACCUCAGCUUGACCUUAGGCAAAAGCUUGCUCCCUCUUUCAGGUCAAAACACGACUUUCCUUGGCACACCUUGCCUGGCAGCCCCACCCCCUGCUGGGCGUCCAUCCCUGGGAUCCAUUUAGACACGAUUCACAUCUCACAUUUAGCACCUGCCACAGGCACCCCUUUGUAUAAAAAUGGGGUUGAGUGUGUGUGUGUGUGUGUGUGUGUGCCCCUGUGUCGUGGCUUCCCCGACACCUCAUGCUGCUCUUACAGAGGGGACCAAGUCUCACUGGUCUUUGCUUCCUCAAUUCCUAGAGCAGGUUUGCAGAGUUGGUGAGAGCCUCUGCGUGCGUGGAGGAGUGACGGUGUGCGCCUCCUGCCUCUUUCCUGCCGGGGAUGGAGCCCUCGGAGGAGACCUCCCAUGGAGUCCUCCUUCCCCUCCCUCCUCUGGGCCUCUAGCCUCCGCCCGCCCUGCCUUCUCUCUUCUCAGUUCUGUCUGGUCCUCACUGGGGGAUCCUGAGACUCACAGUGGGUGUCCAGGUUCAGAGGAGCAGACAGUCCAGGAAGCCCUGGGUCAAGGCGACCCUCUCCCACCGUCCACAAGUGAGUGGCCUGGAAGACUCAGUCCUUCAAAUGCUGUCCCUUCUUCAUCCUCCUCCAGUGGAGUCUGGAGGCCGGGAAGGUUUGGGGAGCAUGGAGGAGGGGAGGGGCCAGUCGCAUGCCCGCCCCGUCCAGGUCAGGUGGUUGUUCACCUCCCUUACGUCUUAUCUGUGCUGGUUUCAUAUUUUGUGGAAGGUUCCUUCCAGGAAUUUUCAAACCCUCCUCUUCUGCUGGCCAUUAGUUCCCCUCAGGCUGGAUCAAACCUUCUUCGUGUAAAAAGCCAGACUUGUGAAAUCCAAAGGCUGCCUGCAGAUCAGUGGUGGAGCUGUGAGGUCUGAGUGAUCCUUAAUCCCGUUCGACAGAUAAAGAGGCAGAGGCUUAUGUUGGCUAAGUGAUCGGUCCAAGUUCACACAGCGGCGGUGUGAAACCAGGGCUCCAACCAGCCGCACACGGUCAGCUGUGAGAAGAGAGUCCCCUCGCUGAGCACAAGGCAAACACGACUGGAUGUUAGCAUUGGCCUAGGACGCAGUUUCUUGGUGUUUGGACCUUGAAGCCAUUUUGAAAUUGCUGCUACCAAUAUUAGGUAUUAGUGUUGAUUUUCUGUGCCAGUUCUGUUAAAUCAUUCUGGCAUUCUUAUGGAUUUUCCUGGAAUAUUCUAAAGUUUGUACUUUUCAGAAUAUUGAUCGGGGUUUUAUGACAAUUGUAAUAUAUUUUUUAUUUCUCUUUUUUAAAACCAG
Molecule: long non-coding RNA, 1483 nt
Filed under: Marmota monax (woodchuck)
Lineage: Eukaryota; Metazoa; Chordata; Mammalia; Rodentia; Sciuridae
Source: RNAcentral